GGAUGUCCAUGGAUAUGAUUCCCAAACCAUUAAGUGUUCUGUCUGGUUCAGCCAAUCAAUACCUCAUUGCAAUAAAUCAGGGGAAGGGAAAAAACGGAGCAACAAUAAGCCGCGCGGGGCAAGGUCGACGGAGAGCACAGCUGCCGUGACAGCAGACAAAGGAGCAGGACCUCGGAUGGCAGAUGGUCACCUGACACCCAGUAUCAAGGAAAAUGAAGGAUGAUUGUGAAAGGUCUAAUGGAUGCUGUCGGUUCAUUCUGUGGCUGAAGGGCUAAGAGAGGAACAGCCCUUAACUGAAGGAAAAUACAGGAUGACAAAGCCCAGAGCUGGGAGGUGCUGUUUUUUGGCUGGUUGGGCCGAUGACCUUUAGCCAGAGCUGCAACACCAAGCUGUGUGAGGCUGGGCUCUCUGGAGGAAUAUCUGUAAGGCUGUUCUGAGCUGAAGCUGACAGAGUGAGCUGCGCAGAGACUGUGACGCACGGGAGGUGACAGAGGAGGGGGCGGCUGUUUAACACCUUAGACAGGGGCACCGUGAAACAGCGCCCCGUGUCAUUCACUCUCCAGGCAUCUGUUUGAGUUUGCCCGCGACAAGUGCUUGAUGCUUUGCUGCCCUCGGCAAGAGGGUCGCCUUCCCUGAGGCUGCAACGGGAGCAAGCGACAGCAUCGUACCCCUCUGGCUGAGCGUCUACUGCUCCAACACCUUCUCUGGCUGGCUGACUGCCUUCACAUUACAUAAACCCCAGGUGCUGAGGAGCUGUAAUCCAGAAAACAGCUCUGUGACACACACCCACGUCACGGCGCAUGUCUGAGGGUCUCCUUCACCCUCUCGCCCCUGUGGGCCGCCAUCCUGCCUGCUUCUUGCAUCAACCAUGUCAGGUCUGAUAUGCGUCCUACUUAAAAGGAUGCUAAAAGGAAACCUGCCGAAAGGUCUGCAUGCUCACUGGGGACACCAUGGAAUUCCUGUAAAAAGAAGCAGCUUUGCUCAGGUUAGCUAAAAUAGUUCAGCACUGCCCUACCUGCUAGUUAACCGAUUACUGCUGUUGGGUUACUAAGCACACCUGUGCCAGGUACAUCCUAACCUCAGGGGUAAAUACCUGGUGGUAUGAACUUCAAACUGUUUAUAGUCAUUUCAGCUGCUUUGCACAGCGUCAUCUUAUAAGAUGAAAAAUGUAUAACGACGGAUUUAGGGUUCUUACAGGAGCACUGGAAAAUAAAUCACAGAACAUUGACCUCAAGGACAUGAAAACAGUAUACAGACAUGCCUACUUGACAUGACUGCCCUAACAGACCACCAGACAUAAACACCACGACAGACUACCGGACAUGACUGCCCUCACAGUCUCGCAGACAUAACCGCCCUAAUAGACUACCAGAUAUGACUGCCCUCACAGACUUCCAGACAUGACCGGCCUAACAGAAUACCGGACAAGACCACCCGCACAGACUACCAUACAAAACUGCCCUCACUGGCUGCCAGACAUGACCUCCCUCAUAGACUACCGGACAAGACCACCCGCACAGACUACCAGACAAAACUGCCCUCACUGGCUGCCAGACAUCACCUCCCUCAUAGACUACCGGACAAGACCACCCGCACAGACUACCAGACAAAACUGCCCUCACUGGCUGCCAGACAUGACCACCCUCAUAGACUACCGGACAAGACCACCCUCAUAGACUACUGGACCUGAUACACUGAUUCACACUGAGAGAAUACAAGGUUCAAAACCCGCCUCCACUCUGUGCACAUGCAGUUUGCAUGUUCUCCCCAUGUCACACAGGUCUUAUUCAGAUACUCCAACUUCCUUCUGCAGUUCUUAGGCUAACUAUCAUCUUUAAAUUACCUAAAGUGUCCGACUGAGUGUGUUUGUUCGCCCUGUGAUGGAUCGUUUCUGGGGGGCAAGGAGAUCUAUCAAGAUCAAUCACACACAGAAUAUGUGCCAGAAGUGUGAAUUAUCAAAAUGGGCAUUUAUUGUGUUUCACACCAUUCAUUCACCAUUCAAGCUCAUUGAUUUCUUGCAUAAUGCACACUAGAAAUAAAAAUUAAAAUGCAUAUACUAAACGCUGCUUCACUUGUAAAACGGAACGUCCCGUUUUCCCUAUUUUGGCACAUUUACACACAGUGAGAGUGACGCUUGGGAUCAGAGCAUAGGGUCAGACUAUUUAUCGGGGUCCCUUGGAGUAUUUCAGGAGGUUAAGAGCCUUGCUCAAGGGGCCCAAAAGAGAUGCAAUCAUUGUGCCAAGGCUGAGAUUCAAACCGGUGACCUUCUAAUGACAGGAGCAGAGGUGUAACCUACAGCGCCACAUCGCACCCAUGAACUGCUGAGCUGAGGUUUAUAUCACAGCAUGCUUAAACACCCAGUUCUGAUUGGUGCACAAACAGCCCAAAGAGGUU
Molecule: long non-coding RNA, 2394 nt
Organism: Brienomyrus brachyistius
Lineage: Eukaryota; Metazoa; Chordata; Actinopteri; Osteoglossiformes; Mormyridae
Exons: 3
Source: RefSeq, a predicted model, not a curated record